RNAcentral lists this small nucleolar RNA (320 nucleotides) under Crocodylus porosus (Australian saltwater crocodile). Its description in RNAcentral is "Small Cajal body-specific RNA 7 (ENSCPRG00005008261.1)". It matches the Rfam family "Small Cajal body-specific RNA 7". The record is from Rfam by way of RNAcentral. Lineage: Eukaryota; Metazoa; Chordata; Crocodylia; Crocodylidae.
UGGAAAUGAUGAAAAAGAGGUAUUUGGAUGUCUGUCUGAAUGGCUUGUGUGAUUGGGGAAACUAUUCUAAUUAAAUUCUUAAUUUAUACUUUUAGUAGUGCUCUAUUUGGGAGGGGGGAGUGUAUGUGUGUGUAAGUGUACAAAAGCUUCAAAAUGGGGGCACUGAUGGAUAAAGUGCUGAUUUUGGAGUGCAUCUGAGGCAUGUUGUAUUACAACAUUGCCAAUGAUUAAAGACCAAGAUAAGCUCACCAGAUUAGUCUAGACAUCCUAAAAAUCUCUAACAGGUUCACUGAUGUAAGUGAUCCUGUGAUCUGAUCCAA